CCUACGUGUGGCAGCAGUGGGGAAUAUUGGGCAAUGGGCGCAAGCCUGACCCAGCAACGCCGCGUGAAGGAAGAAGGCUUUCGGGUUGUAAACUUCUUUUCUCAGGGACGAAGCAAGUGACGGUACCUGAGGAAUAAGCCACUGCUAACUACGUGCCAGCAGCCGCGUUAAUGCGUAUGUGGCAAGCGUUAGCCGGAUUUGCUGGGUGUAAAGGGCGUGUAGGCGGGGACGGAAGUCAGAUGUGAAAACCACGGGCUCAACCUGUGGCCUGCAUUUGAACCUGUGUUUCUUGAGUACUGGAGAGGCAGACGGAAUUCCUAGUGUAGGAGUGAAAUGCGUAGAUAUUAGGAGGAACACCAGUGGCGAAGGCGGGCUGCUGGACAGCAACUGACGCUGAGGCGCGAAAGCGUGGGGAGCAAACAGGAUUAGAUACCCCUGUAGUC
Molecule: ribosomal RNA, 443 nt
Filed under: uncultured bacterium
Lineage: Bacteria
Description: partial 16S ribosomal RNA
Rfam family: Bacterial small subunit ribosomal RNA
Source: RNAcentral